GCUACCAGAUGUGUAGGUGCCCUCAAUGACUCAGUAGCCGGUGUAGAUCCUGUGUUUAGUAAUCAGUAGCUACAUCUGGCUACUGGGUCUCUGAUGGCAUCAUCUA
This 106-nucleotide microRNA precursor is filed under the name Sorex araneus (European shrew). Its description in RNAcentral is "miRNA (ENSSARG00000015393.1)". The stretch from base 19 to 102 matches the Rfam family "mir-221 microRNA precursor family". The record is from RNAcentral. Lineage: Eukaryota; Metazoa; Chordata; Mammalia; Eulipotyphla; Soricidae.